AUAAUGGUGUCUUUCGACACCACCUAUGUCUUCAAAAUUUUGAUU
Molecule: non-coding RNA, 45 nt
Organism: Picea glauca (white spruce)
Lineage: Eukaryota; Viridiplantae; Streptophyta; Pinopsida; Pinales; Pinaceae
Source: Rfam